This 493-nucleotide ribosomal RNA is filed under the name uncultured bacterium. Its description in RNAcentral is "partial 16S ribosomal RNA". It matches the Rfam family "Bacterial small subunit ribosomal RNA", at positions 29 to 507 of the family's 1533-position model. The record is from RNAcentral.
AACGAACGCUGGCGGCGCGUCUUAAACAUGCAAGUCGAACGGCAGGAAGGGGCUUGCCCCUUCUGAGAGUGGCGGACUGGUGAGUAACACGUGGGUGACAUACCUUUUAGUUGGGGAUAGCUAUUAGAAAUAGUAGGUAAUACCGAAUGUGACCGUACCUGUUAGAGGGGUACGAGGAAAGGAGCUAAGGCUUCGCUAAAAGAAUGGCUCGCGGCCCAUUAUGCUCGUUGGUGAGGUAACGGCCCACCAAGGCGAUGAUGGGUAUCCGGCCUGAGAGGGUGAACGGACACAUUGGGACUGAGAUACGGCCCAGACUUCUACGGGAGGCAGCAGUUAAGAAUAUUCCGCAAUGGACGAAAGUCUGACGGAGCGACGCCGCGUGGAUGAAGAAUGCCGAAAGGUUGUAAAAUCCUUUUAAGCCUGAUGAAUAAGCACAGUAGGGAAUGAGUGUGCGGUGACCGUAGGGCUUGAAUAAGCACCGGCUAAUUACGUG